Molecule: unclassified non-coding RNA, 919 nt
Filed under: Hevea brasiliensis (rubber tree)
Lineage: Eukaryota; Viridiplantae; Streptophyta; Magnoliopsida; Malpighiales; Euphorbiaceae
Source: RNAcentral
AAUCAAAUUUUUGAAAAGGAAAAAGAGAGAGAAGGUAAUAUAGAUGGAAAGAGAGGAAGUGAGAGAGGUUAAUGGAAUGAAUGGGUAAGGGCGGUAGUUUUAAGUUUGCUCUUUGUUCAAUGGGAGGCCCAAUGAGCCUUAAAACCAUAUGGGCUCGUAACUCUUGAACAAAAAGGUGAAAACUCUCACUGUAUUGGUGGAUAGGGGGACUCUAACUUGAAACAGCCCACUCCCUUCACCUUUUAAAGAUGUGAGGAAACCAACUAGGUUAGGCCUGAUUGGCAGCCAUGCACAAUUCUCCUAUCCUAGUGGAGGUUGAAUGAAUUUGACGGCUACGAAAAUCAUUUUAUGCCACGUGUUUUUCUGGAUGAACCGUAUAUGGUUGACAUCAACUAAGGACACAAGCAACUGCAAGUCCCAAUCCAAAGGCCACUGAUGACUCCGGUAUUGGCUAGGAUUUACAUGGGUUUUUUAUAAGUUGGAAGCUAGUAGGUAAACCAUAUAAAUGCACAUGCUAGAAUUUUCAUGGUCAUAAAGUAAGGAUCUGUGUUGAAGUGGAUGUAAGGUAUGGUUUUUAUAUUAAUUUAGAAGAUUGUACUACUUUAUUACCCCCACCCCCAGCACACCAGCUCUGGUCGGUUCAUUCAAACUGCUUACAUUUAUUUAUUUUUGCAGCAAAUACAUAUGAUUGAUGAAAAGGCCUAUGAGUUUUCCGAUCAGCAGAUGCAACUGGUGCUUGUUGGUUACAUCCGGGGACUGAAUGGCAUGGAAUUUGAAUCCAAGAAUGUGGAAAUACUUGAAGAGGACAAGUCUAUUGCAAGUUGUGGGUUGGAUCAGUCCAUAUUCAUCCACCAUUUUUCUUCUCUUUUCAAUAACAAUUGCUGCAUUUCUGGACUCUAAUGCUUCCCCACUAUAAUAA